UACGGAGGGGGUUAGCGUUGUUCGGAAUUACUGGGCGUAAAGCGCGCGUAGGCGGAUUGGAAAGUUGGGGGUGGAAAUCCCCGGGGCUCAACCCCCGGAACCUGCCUCCAAAACUACCCAGUCUGGAGUUCGAGAGAGGUGAGUGGAAUUCCGAGUGUAGAGGUGAAAUUCGUAGAUAUUCGGAGGAACACCAGUGGCGAAGCGGCUCACUGGCUCGAUACUGACGCUGAGGUGCGAAAGUGUGGGGAGCAAACAGGAUUAGAUACCCGCGUAGU
This 275-nucleotide ribosomal RNA is filed under the name uncultured bacterium. RNAcentral's name for it is "partial 16S ribosomal RNA". It matches the Rfam family "Bacterial small subunit ribosomal RNA", at positions 524 to 794 of the family's 1533-position model. The record is from RNAcentral.